Molecule: non-coding RNA, 145 nt
Organism: Gossypium hirsutum (cotton)
Lineage: Eukaryota; Viridiplantae; Streptophyta; Magnoliopsida; Malvales; Malvaceae
Source: Rfam
UGUGAAAGUUUUUAUUUAUUUAUAUUGUUAAAAACUAAUGUGUAUGAAGGAAUAACUAGACAAUGAGAUGUGGCAUGCCACAUGUACAUCAUGCUGAUGUAUAAAGACCAAUUUUUAACAGUAAAAUUGGAUAAAAUUUUUAACA